This is a long non-coding RNA of Oreochromis niloticus (Nile tilapia), 327 nucleotides long. RefSeq lists it as uncharacterized. The transcript is spliced from 3 exons. The record is from RefSeq and is a predicted model, not a curated record. NCBI's taxonomy places the organism in Eukaryota, Metazoa, Chordata, Actinopteri, Cichliformes, Cichlidae.
UUCAUUCUGCAGAGAGUGCUGAAGACCACUCAGCAGUGACAACAGAUGAGGUCACUUAUGGGCAAAUCAUCAUCAACAAGAAACAAGAAAAUUCAAAUAUGAGAGAAAGCGAUUCAGCUGCAGUCUACUCAGCAAAGAGAACAGAAGACAUCAGUUAUGGAGAAAUAGCCGUCACACCAAAGAGGACCAGAGACUUAAAACCAGAGCCAGGCGUCGUCUACUCUUCACUGAAGUAGUCCACCAGUCCAACCACUGACGUCCAGCUGCUGGUCUCUAACUGGUCCCCCCAGCACCUCAGACUAGAGGACAAUCAAAUGUUACAAAGAA